GGGAAAUAAGAAUUGCUAAUGGUGAAGGCAUCAAAAUUCUAGAAUGCCAAAACAACAAGAACAAAGUAUUGCAUCCAUAAGACACAUAAAUUACAACUAUAAUCCUCCUUUCCAUUGAACAUUUCUCAUGUUUAUCCAGGUUGCUUCCACCCACAAUCAUUGAACUUACCAUUAAAUCCCAUCAAAAUCAUUAAAUUUUUAUUAAUUCUUAACCACCACUAAACUUUCAUACAUGUGACCAUAAAAUCACUUGGGCCAAAUUCUGACUCAAAUUGAAAAUUUGACACGAAAACAAUAUUGAAAAUUUUCAAAAGUAUUUAGCACGUUUAGUGGGCUAUCCAAGACAACAAUAUUAAAAUUUAUUAAUUGAGUGACAUUGGUGGGAUUUAGUGCCUAGCUUAGUAGUUUAGUAGCUACAGAUGAAAUUUACCCCGUUGACUCCCCCUUUAUGAGCAAAUACUUUACCCUCAAAUUCAAUAUGCAAGUAACAUACUACCAUCAUAGUUAUUAAAGGCACGCCUUAAGCUUCAACCCAAGCGCCUCUAAAAGAGAAAGAUAGGUGACAUUCACCAUACUCUUGCCUUAUGCACCUUGUUUCAAGCGCAAGGCUCUAAAAAGGUGCGCCUUUUUUAUUUCCACCUUCAACAAGUACUGCCAUUGACAAAAAAUACUACCACUAAAUAUGAAAUUUGUCGACCUACCAGAUUUCGAUAUUGACGCACUAAGAAGUUUUCAAAAUGAGUAUCAUCGGUAAUAACUAGUCGCAAAAAUCUCAUCAAAUCGCUACACGGUACACCUAAGAUCGCAAAACCUUCUAUAUUUCCAUUUUUAAAACUACCCACUCUUAUUAUCUUUUUUUUUUUUAAAUAAUGUUACUUAUACACCUAUUUCAAGAUAUAUACU
RNAcentral lists this unclassified non-coding RNA (903 nucleotides) under Hevea brasiliensis (rubber tree). The record is from RNAcentral. Lineage: Eukaryota; Viridiplantae; Streptophyta; Magnoliopsida; Malpighiales; Euphorbiaceae.